RNAcentral lists this long non-coding RNA (327 nucleotides) under Brassica napus (rape). RNAcentral's name for it is "long non-coding RNA (BNAP_LNC014268)". Lineage: Eukaryota; Viridiplantae; Streptophyta; Magnoliopsida; Brassicales; Brassicaceae. The record is from RNAcentral.
UUUCACAAAAGUUAUUCUUCGUAAAAAGAAUCUUCACAAAGAGCCUUGCGGUAAAAUCUUGUUCUAAUCUCAAUCGAACCACUAAAUACCGAUUUUCCGGAGGCGACGGACAUGUAUCCAAAUCUGCCACAAGCGGCCAGUCCCAAAACAUAAACACAGCCAUUCAAGGCCGGAGCAAGUACUAAUUCAUAACAUAAAGAAAAUCUCUCAACCGAUAUCGUAACUUUGAUCGACAUCUAGAAUCUAAACCUCCCCUUCACCCAUCUCUUCGUCCAAGCUCGGGACCGCACCGCCUCCGUUCUCCCCGACCACAGGAUCUUGCCCCUC